Molecule: ribosomal RNA, 216 nt
Filed under: Glomeromycotina sp.
Lineage: Eukaryota; Fungi; Glomeromycota
Description: partial small subunit ribosomal RNA
Rfam family: Eukaryotic small subunit ribosomal RNA (bases 40-216)
Source: RNAcentral
GGGUCAGUAGGUUGGUCGUGCCACCGGUACGUACUGGUCUCACUGAUUCCUCCUUCCUGAAGAACCGUAAUGCCAUUAAUUUGGUGUUGCGGGGAAACAGGACUGUUACUUUGAAAAAAUUAGAGUGUUUAAGGCAGGCUAACGCUUGAAUACAUUAGCAUGGAAUAAUGAAAUAGGGCGAUCGAUCCUAUUUUGUUGGUUUCUAGGAUUGACGUA